This 2006-nucleotide long non-coding RNA is filed under the name Neodiprion lecontei (redheaded pine sawfly). Its description in RNAcentral is "uncharacterized LOC124293229". Lineage: Eukaryota; Metazoa; Arthropoda; Insecta; Hymenoptera; Diprionidae. The record is from RNAcentral.
UUUCUGAACGCUGUUGAUCACGUGAUCAAAGCACUGAGAGCACCUUACCUCGAAAGCACCAGUGUUCACAGUAGAAAAAUGGCAACGAUUUAUGACGUCAUAUAUUUCCCUAGGAUACUGCGACUGUAUACUGUCCGUCUAUAACGGAACGAAUUUCUCCCCAGUAAGAGCACUGAACAGUGCUCGCAGUGUAUAUCGGAACAUACCCCGUGUCAAAACGUCUUUAAGAGUGCCUCAAGAUGGCCUAUCAACAGACGCCGGUCCCAGUCGGAAUUGGAAAGCGAUAGGGAGAGGCAGGCCGCUUCUCUUCUAACUUCCUGUUUCGAUCUCUGCAAGUGUGUUUUUUUUUUUUUUUUGUCGUGCUGUUACAUCCUUCCCGCCUGAAGCCUCGUAAACGUCAACGCAACUGGGGAACAUCCCAGAAGGGGUCAAAAAAAAAGAAGAAAAUGAAUAUUGAAAGAAAACAGCAACAAGAAUAAGAGUAAUUAAACACUAAAGGACCAAAAGUAGUUCUUAAAAUUCUUGAGAUAUCCCAGGAAUAAGCUAAGAGUACGUUGGCACUUUCGCUUCGGGGGCAUAGCCUCAACAUCAACGUCUAUUCUCCAUUUAAGUAUCCAAAAGUACUAAAACUGUGCUAGAGAAAUUAUCAAAUACAAUCUCUGAUCAGCUGAAUAAAUUCUGUGAUGUUCCACUGCAAAUUCAAGUGAUUGCUGAAGUAUUUUUCUGCAAUAAUGAUGAGAUUGUAUGAGUAGUUGAUCAUUAAAAUAUGGAGCUGGAUGUGUUGAAUCAUAUCAGAGUAGAUAUGUGACAAGAAGUAUGCAGUAUAUUGUAAGAAAAAAAAAAAAUAAAAGGCUUAAGUAAUCCUGGAGCGCAAGAAGAUGCCAAGGAAUUGAGGACAAAAUUUCUGAUGGCCCAACAGCGAUUAGCAUUGUACAUCUUGCUCAAAGAAGAGCAUUCAGGGACAUGGAAAUUGUUUCCGAAAGAAAUGGACAAAGUGAAAAAAUUGAAAGACAAGAUUAGUAGAGGUACAAAGUGAACUGGCAUUGUGACAAUUGUAAUCAAUCAGAGAGCACAUUUCAUUCGCCUUACUUUUAUGGAAUAUAUUGUAGCCGAUUAUUUACAUGAAUAAUUAUAAAAAUCGGAAGAAACCCAUUCAAUCUCAAAAUUACAAAUAUUUACUUUGAAGCAAAUUCUGCUUGAAUCAAAGAAUAAUUGUAAUCCGUGCCUAUCUGAACGAUCUGUUAUCCAAACCACCAUUGAGCUCAACAUUAGAGGUUUCUUUCUGACAGAUUGAAUUGGAUAAAUUCGUAGUGACCAAGAUGGCAAAAAUAUUUUGCACAUUGCUACUGAAGAAGGCAGCCAUAAAAAUAUGAAAUUCUACUGCACAUUGCUUGCAAAAAAUUUUGCCAAUCCGCAAAAGUUAAUUACCAUUAAGCCCGGGCGUGAUGGGAGAAUUCUGAUGCGUAGGAUAAUUUCAAAAUGUCAACUUCAAAAAUGUCGAGAGUUCAUCAGAUGAAAAUAACUUGGCAGUUGUGGAAUGGCUGCUAGACCAAAAAGCUAACAUUAAUGCUACCGAUGAACACGAAAAUACACCAAUGCACACAGCUGUUAAAAAUGGGCAUUUGAUGACUUUGAAAUUACCGGCAAGCCAGCGAGAUGCUGUUAAAACAGCUUGGAAUCACAGUGGGGAAAGAUUACAUCAGAUAGCUGCUUAAAAUGGAAACCUUGAUGUCGUCAAGUGGCUGGUGAAAGAGAGAGAUUCCGAUAUUGAUGUUAGAGAUAAUUUUGGGACCACAUUGCAACACAUGGCUUGCCGCAGAGGAAACCUUCAGAUCGUCAAGAGUCGCUAGUAAAAAAGCGAAGCUGCAAUAUCGACAUUCUAGAUAAUCCGGGAAUAACGUUGUAUCAAUAUGAUUAAAAAUAUAUAAGGCAUUAAGACCAUUGACAAUGUAAUGUUGAAAGAAAAAGAUAAGAAAAAAAUUAAAAGCAAAGAUCCAAAUCAGUAA